AUUGAACGCUGGCGGCAGGCCUAACACAUGCAAGUCGAGCGAGCGGCGGACGGGUGAGUAAUGUAUGGGGACUGCCCGCUAGAGGGGGAUAACUACUGGAAACGGUAGCUAAUACCGCAUACUAUCGGAUAACCCAUAUGGGAUUAGCUAGUAGGUGAGGUAAUGGCUCACCUAGGCGACGAUCCCUAGCUGGUCUGCGAGGAUGAUCCGCAACACUGGGACUGGGAAACGGCCCAGACUCCUACGGAGGCAGCAGUGGGAAAGAUUGCAAAAUGGGCGCAAGCCUGAUGCAGCAAGGCGGCGGGGAUGAAGAAGGCUCUAGGGUUGUAAAGUACUUUAAGUCGGGAGGCGUUACCGACAGAAGAAGCACCGGCUAACUCCGUGCCAGCAGCCGCGGUAAUUC
RNAcentral lists this ribosomal RNA (403 nucleotides) under uncultured bacterium. RNAcentral describes it as "partial 16S ribosomal RNA". It matches the Rfam family "Bacterial small subunit ribosomal RNA", at positions 30 to 526 of the family's 1533-position model. The record is from RNAcentral.